AAACUAAAGAAGAAGAAGAAACCAGGCUCGUUCUUUUAAUACAUCCACGCGUGGACAAAUACACAUGGAUGUAGAGACCUAUUACAGGGAUAAAAGCAUGAAUAUAUCCAUGGCUGUACGACAACUGUGCGUGUUUUCAUAGCUAGAUAUGUAGGUCGGUUUAUAAAGCAGGUUGCAUCUUGUUUUUUUUUCCGGGAUUAGGCGCCACUGUACCACUCAUAAUUGAUCGAAGAUGGGACUCCAAGUUCUGCUGUGGUGGCCGAAUAUUAUCGGAUACAUUAGGAUUGGCCUUGUGUUUGCUGCAUGGGCUGCCUAUAAGACGCCAGCAAUCUUUGUCUCUCUUUACUCAAUCUCCAUAGCACUAGAUGGAGUGGACGGCUGGCUGGCAAGGAGGCUGGGUCAGACCUCCAGGUUUGGAGCCUGGCUGGAUGUAGUGGUGGACAACCUGGGCAGAGGCAUGCUGUGGAGCCUGCUGUUUAAGUGGGGUUGGCUGGUGUCUGCCUUGGAGUGGUGCGUGUUUGUGUGUAACCACAAUGCCAGAGGUGACCACUGGAAGAACAGUUUCAUCACCAGUCCUCGAUUCAUACAAGCCAUCAUGGCAAACGGGUUUCGGACACCUCUUGGCACAUGGGUGGUGAGUGGGCUGCACUGCCUCCCCCUGUGGCUGUAUGGGUAUCAGUGGGGCUUACUAUCCCACUGGCUGUAUCUGCCUCCCUGGAUCCAGGCUGCGGGGACCCUGCUGCUGGCUGCAGGCCGCCUGCUGGCUCUAUCGGUGGAGAUAUGGUGUAUAUGGACACACAUCGAAUACCUCACCAAUGAUGAGCCGGAAGAGAAAAAGAACUGAAAGCCACUCAGCAGUCAGUGAAACUGUCCUAACGCGUGGCUGGUUUAGCUCAGUUGGUAGAGCAGGCGCACAUAUAUAGAGGUUUACUCCUCGAUGCAGUGGCCGCAGAUCUAGAAAAGGUCAUCCAUGCUUUCAUCUCCUCCAGACUUGACUAUUGCCGCACACCUGAUCUGUGUCAGCAGGCGAAACAUCCAAAGACUUCUACAAAACACUGCUGCCAGGCUUUUAACCCGUUCUGAGAGAAGCGACCACAUCACACCAAUCUGGGAAAACCUUUUUUCUUUAUGGACCUAUGCAGGCGUAGCAGUGCUGCCAUGUAGCUUGCAACACUAGAGUGCGCAGUUGUGACCAUGUUGGCUAGUGUGACUCUGUUCAUGGUGUUAAACAGGAACAGAGACUAUUAUAGUAUGAGAGCAUUUAUGUAGGAGAGACCUUGUGAAUGCUUUGUUUCUAAUAAUGGCAGGGAGGUUAUCCAGAUGUCAUUACUGGUGCCUUGCAAUAAAAUGCUGAAACACA
Molecule: RNA transcript, 1360 nt
Organism: Perca fluviatilis (European perch)
Lineage: Eukaryota; Metazoa; Chordata; Actinopteri; Perciformes; Percidae
Exons: 7
Source: RefSeq, a predicted model, not a curated record